RNAcentral lists this small RNA (83 nucleotides) under Flavobacterium glycines. Its description in RNAcentral is "Flavo-1 RNA". It matches the Rfam family "Flavo-1 RNA". The record is from RNAcentral. Lineage: Bacteria; Pseudomonadati; Bacteroidota; Flavobacteriia; Flavobacteriales; Flavobacteriaceae.
CAAUAGCCCCGAUGGCAGCGAGUAUCCUUUUUAUCUUUUUCUUAAAAACAGAUAAAAAGAUACUGCGUACAGCGGGUGAUACU